This 279-nucleotide ribosomal RNA is filed under the name uncultured bacterium. Its description in RNAcentral is "partial 16S ribosomal RNA". It matches the Rfam family "Bacterial small subunit ribosomal RNA", at positions 506 to 784 of the family's 1533-position model. The record is from RNAcentral.
UGCCAGCCGCCGCGGUAACACGAACUGCGCGAACGUUAUUCGGAAUCACUGGGCUUAAAGAGUGCGUAGGCGGCCGGGUAAGUUAAAUGUGAAAGCCCACGGCUCAACCGUGGAAUUGCGUUUAAUACUGCUCGGCUUGAGGAAGACAGAGGUGAGCGGAACUGAUGGUGGAGCGGUGAAAUGCGUUGAUAUCAUCAGGAACACCAGUGGCGAAGGCGGCUCACUGGGUCUUUUCUGACGCUGAGGCACGAAAGCUAGGGGAGCGAACGGGAUUAGAUA